AUGCUAAUACAGGUGCGGCAUUCGCGGCGUGAGCCUUGGCGGAACCCUCUGCCCCGUCCCGCCGCCCUUAUGCCUUCCUCUCUGUGCCCCUACUCGAGGGUGCCCAUGGACGAGGUGGGUGUGGACAAGGGCCGCCGCGGCGUCGGGCUGCGGCCCCUGGCAGGGUUCCUGUUGGGGAUGCUGGCCAUGGCCGUGCCCCUGGGCUACUUUGCCGUGAAGGCCAACAGCGAAGCAUGCCACCUUGGUCUCCAAGCAGAGGAAAGGUUCCACAAUGUCACCCAGCACCUGCGGGACCAGCUGACCCGAGCCCAGGAGGCCCUGCAGGACGCCUACGCCACCUGCAAAAGCACCGUGGAAAACCUGAAUGCGUCCCUGAGCGAGGCGAAAACUCAGGAGCAGAAGCAACGCGAGCAAGUGCAGGCCCAGAAGGAUGAGAUCGCGGAUUUGAAGCAGAAGCUGCAGGAGACUCGGCAGACGGUGCAGCAGCUCAGGUCAGCCCCGCCCCUCGCCCCGCCCCUUCCCGGGACCCGGGACCCCCGCCGGAACAUCCACGCUGCCCCCGGUACACCCGAGUCCCAGGGCGGGCAGGAGGCCGGCCUGGCCCGCAGCUGCCUGAUUGUCCCCGUCUUCGCUCCAGGAAUGAGAUCUCCGCCACCCGCCAAAGGAGUCCCAAAAGCGCGGCCGUCUCCGUCGGCGCGGUGCCCGCGGCGCUUCUGCUCCCGGUCCUCGCUGCGCUGCGGCCCUGACGUCCCCGGAGCCCGCCGGUGGCAGCCUGCGCUGAUCUGGUUCCAGGUCCUUUCGGCUUUCCUGUCCGCUGACCCAAGGUUGCUCGGGACAACCCCACAGCGCGGUUGGGGGUUGCAGGGUGGGCAUCAUGGAGGGGACGCGGGCUGCACCGGGGUGGAAAGCCCCUCUUGGGGGUGGGAUGGGGCCCCUGCCUCCGCAUCUCACUGUCACGGUUGAGGUCCCUUUUCUUCUGGAGUCUUUCUAUUCUGAAACAAUAAACAGUUUCGAGAAAAAAGAACUGGCUCCCAGGUUCCAGGAGUGUGGCUGUCACCCAGGGUUGGGGCGGCCCCUGUGGGUGAGGCUGGGAAACCCGCUGCACCCACACUCUGACGUCCUGCGACCCGCUGGGGCUCCCAGCCACCACGCCGCCGGAAGCAGCCUCCGCACCUGGCAGGGCCUGCGGGCCCGCAGCCCCCUCCUUGGUCCUAGUGGGGAAACCGAGGCUGGGGAGGGUAACUGUCCUGCUUUUCCCUGCCUCCUGCAGAAAGUGCUGGGUUUGGGUUUAAACCGCCAUGCGCAGGCGCAUUUAGGCCAAGCCUCCGUCAGAAUGUUCUCGUUUCUAUCCCCCAAGCUCUUAUUUGUCCUGCAGCACCCCACUCAGUUUUUGUUUUUUGGGUUUUUGUUUUGUUUUGUUUUUCUUCCGGUACCAGGAAUCGAACUCACAACCUUGAGCUUGCCAGGCAGGCGCUUUGCCGCUGAGCCAAAUCCCCAGCCCCACUCUGGGCCUCCCCCUCCAGAAAAGUUCUUCAAAAGUGACAGCUGCAUUGCCCGCAGACACUUCAGCCGCCUCUGGCUUCCUCCCGGCUGCACGGUCUCUUCCUGCCUGUUAUCUUUCUUCCUCCAAGUUGCCCUGGAAUCUGUGUGACUUCCCGUCUAUGGCCGUAGGGCCUGGAGCGGAGUCUUGGGUCCCAGAUUUCUGCCGUGCCCAGACCUCAUGGUCAGUGGAAGACAGGGGCCUGUUGCCCCGUUCUCCAGGGACACUGCACCCACCCCUGCCGCCAGCCGGCCCAGACCUCUCUGAGCGCUGGGCCUGGGCCCUCGCUCUGCCCGGCUGGGGAUGUUUGGGAGGGUACGUGGGCAGUACCGUCCCGGGUGGGCCAGAUGGUCGCAGCCUCUCGGUCACCGCCACUCGGAGUCGGUGCAGAGGGCCUGUUCCCUGGAGCUGCCACCUGGGGUUUGCAGGGGAGGCAAGGCUGCUGGGAGCGACCCGGAGGGGACCGGCGAC
Molecule: long non-coding RNA, 2011 nt
Organism: Chinchilla lanigera (long-tailed chinchilla)
Lineage: Eukaryota; Metazoa; Chordata; Mammalia; Rodentia; Chinchillidae
Product: bone marrow stromal antigen 2-like
Source: Ensembl